Molecule: long non-coding RNA, 5645 nt
Organism: Scylla paramamosain (green mud crab)
Lineage: Eukaryota; Metazoa; Arthropoda; Malacostraca; Decapoda; Portunidae
Exons: 4
Source: RefSeq, a predicted model, not a curated record
CGCUUCGACGGGAUCCCAGCCAUGGCGGCGCGGCAGUGACAGUAUGGAGUGAAUUCAUUGAGCUAGAACUUAUCCUUAGAAUCGUUAGUUAACUUUAAAAAUACAAAAUUUGACUAUCUGUGAUGAAACUGAUUCAAUGAAAACUGGUAAGAUGAUGGUGUGUUCCUCAGGAGCAGACUGUGUGAAGGGAAAAGUGUGUUGCCGUACAUGGGAAGCUGCUGCCAUCCCCAUGAGCACAACAGCUGGCCGCCGCGCACUCCAUGGGAGGUGAGGGAGGGAAGCAGAAGAAAUAUCAACAUGGUGACGUGAUGCCUUGGCAGUACAUUCGCCCGCCAGAGGCGCUGACUCAACACAUGGGAGGCAAGGUUUCAUUUCGUCACGUGGAGUGUCUCCGUGAUGCUAGCCAUCUUUAAGACUAGUUGUCCAGCAGAAUGAAGUGAUGUCUCCUGCUGUUGGCAGCACUGCCAUCAAGUGGACACGGCUGUCAGAGAGUAUGAGCGUGCAGGCUGUUCUCUGCUUGCCAGUUCACCAUCGCGUGAACACAACAGCCUGCAAGUGUCGUGAGAAACUGUCGUCAAUGCAAACCAGUGUCGCAGUGUGGCAGUUACUCUCAAGAGUGGAGCACGUGGUGUUAGCAGAAGACAUUUCAGUUGAUACUUGUAUAUGAAGAGAAUCUCAUCGCGUGAGAACACGAAAGGAAAGAAAACAGAAAUAAAAGAGAAAUUCCAAGUGAGCUGAUGGGACGGAGUUUGAAUAUGGCGCAUUUUUAUGAACCAGGUAUGUAUUUGUUUCUUUUCAUUAUAGUUUAUUUAUUCACUGAAACAACAGCACCUCUCAUAAUUUUGUCGAUAUUUCUACAGAUGAUAAAUUUUGUAAUUCAAAGCAUAAAAUGUCCUGUAAGCAUAUAUUUCUUAGUACUGAUGGGUUAUUCAGUGUUCCCAUAUUCAUCAAUAAAACCAGUUUAUUUUCACAUUAUGAUGAAUUAAUUUGUUCCAACUGAAGUUGAUGUGGUUGAAAUAGAUUCGUAAAGAGAUAACAAGUAGCUAUGAAUAAGUAUAAUGCAAAUUAAUGAACAACCAGACUGUUACUCUAUACUAGGCUUUUGACUCAAUUGUUAAUUAUAUUCAUCUUCCUGUCACGUCCUCUAACCAUCGGCACUGAAUGGCUGCUGAGAAUAUGUAUAACGUGUAGCAACAUCUACAUUGAAAAAAGGCUGACACUUACUCUUAGAGAGACUCCACACAAAGGGUUGCAGAUCACUUAUCUAUAUUUACUACGUAUCCGUAUUACUUAUACUUAUGCGUGUUAUGUGUUACGCGAGUCAGCAGACGAAGAGAAUCACAACAGAUAACUGGAAAGUCACAACAGGUAACCGGGAAGUCAGCACCGCCGGGACAACGCUGUUAACGGGAUGAAGACACACGUAUAAUUAUGGUGAAGAAAUUUUGGCAGUGGUUUUAAUGUAAUACUUAGGAUAAAGAUGUUGAAAAUGUGCAAGAGUGUUCUUUUAUGUGUCUGGUGCUCGGAAGAAAUUUUAUAAAGCCCUGAGAGUGGAGGUAUCAGCCUCAUAAACAUCAACUGUAACACUGAAGAUAAUAAUAGAAAUGGCAUUAAUAAUGAUUAUAUUUGUGGUUGAUGCUUGUUGUUGAUAUUUUGUGGUGGUGUGACUCUCCUCACACUAUCAAUGAAAAUGGCGCGCGCGCACGUGUGUGUGUGUGUGUGUGUGUGUGUGUGUGCGUGUGUGUAAGGAGGAUGUGUAAUGUAAGCUUUCAUUUUCAUUUUGGGAACAAACUUAUUCGAGCACAAGCAAGCGGUCAAGUGCUGCUCGUGGAUCAGACUUGUUUUCGUGGGCGACUUAAGUGCAGCUACCGGCGCUGAGACAGACUUGUACAAGUUAUGUGUUGAUCACCUUAGGUCUGGUACAGGGAACUUCAAUAAUUCUGUCUUUCCAAACCUUGCAUACUCCAGAAAGCUGAGAAUUACUGGUUCAUAUUACAAGAUGUGGAAUGCUAAAGUGAACAGAAUCUAGCGAUGUCACAAAGUACGUGAAAAAACCUGUUACUUAUUCAUACUAGCCAGUGCGUCCUUCAAGAGUUGGACUUACCAUAGCCGUGAGCUUUUUUUUUUUUUUUUUUUUUUGCAAUCUGUCAGGCUUACUGCAGCAUUGCAUUAACACAAAGAAAUAUGAAGAUUAAAAAAAAAUUUAUAUAGAGUAUUGAUACAGCCACGCUGAUGUAGUGGUAAUGGGAUUGCGUCAGGGAACACUGUGUUGCAUGGUCCUGUUGUGCUGGGCCAAUUAUAUCAGACAAUGAUUUACGUGGGAUUAGGGCUCUUGUGGAGUCAGGCAGAGUGACACGUCAGAGGAAUCAAUGAAAACGUAAAGGGUCAUUUUAAUACAAAUUACAUUCACUUGCUCAUUAAACUGUGAGGAAGCCUCGAUGGCCGGACAACUAAUGGCUGCUUCGGUUCAGUUGCUAAUUAAUAAAGGAUUCAUGGGAGCGAGUACUUAAAGCAGCUGUGCGUUGCUGCUCCAUUCAGUGAAUGUCUGGCCCUGGCUGGUGUGCAGAUGGAGGCUACUGAUUCCCCAGUUUAAUGAAAUUCAUCCUCUCUUUCCGAGGUUAGGUAGAUUUAGUGAUGUGGAAGGGAGUGAAGGAUUCUGAUAUUUGUAAAGGGAUGGAAACAAUGCUGAAAGUUGGAGACAAAGAUAAGUUGCGUGCAUUAUAUGUAACCUUAAUCAGUUUGUGUCGGGAUAGGUAAUAUGACUGUAUCAAUCUAGAGAGCAAAAGGGAGCUAAAAGUAACGCAGUAUUUACUAUGUACAGGACUAAUAACUUAAAAGCCUGAACGAUGUGGCUUCGUGACCAGUAAAUUGAUAACGGACCUCAGCGAGCAUUUUUACGGUAUUUUGCUAACUUGCGGAACAUCGAGGAUACUUGCAACUUACGUCAUUCUCAAGGAAGCUUUUUGAUUUUUUUGCAUCACACUUCAGUUUUGGGUGUUUAGUGAGAAUGUUAUGUCUCAUGUGUAGUAUAAAUAGUCUAAAAAAAGUAAUUAAGAUGAAAAAAAAAAUAACGUUGGGAAAGAUGGAUACAAAAUUUAUAUAUCUGUUAUGAACCAGCCCGUAUUCCAAGGAUUUGGCCACAAACAAGUCAGUUAGGUCUGUUUUGCAACUAACAAAGAUUUUCUCAGAGGCGGCCAGGGUCACCCAUGUUUCCUCGGCGCGUGGCGUGGGAAGAGCGUAAUGGUGGGUGAAGUUUAUGUACGUGCAGUUUGCUAUAAUAUGUAUACUUCCUGUGUAUCGUAUACAGGUUGACGUUAACGCUCCGAAUAUCAGACGCAUUAGCCUUAACAUUACUGGGGAACACUUGCAUGAUAUGCGUGUGCUACAAUAUGCACACGUGACAAUGAGUACGUAUAAUACCUAUUGUAAAAUGCACUUUACAGCAUUACAGGCUUCUGUUACAUUAACUAAAUUGGAAGAGGUGGCGUAGAGAACUUCAUUGAAUUAAAUACAGAUUGUUGCUCCCUAAAAUUGUUUGCUGAACACAUUGUCAGGGAGGAAAACAGCAAUUAAGUUUAGGGAAAACUGAAGACGUCGCUGCUUUGGGCGUCACCAGUCGUGUGGCAGCUGGACCAACACAGCGACGCCGAGAUACAGUAAUAUUCCACUGUUGCCUUCAUAUUUCUUUUCUUAUUUCGCAUAAGGUUGAAUAUUGUAUUGGUAGACUAUAUAAGAUCUUCAAGACAUGGCUAUUAACGCAAGCGUUGUGAAACUUUUGUCCCUAGACGAUAAUUAUCGAGAAAUUAAAAACUGGCCUUUUUAAGCAAGGAUGUAAGACAUUACAUAGCUCUUCUUAGCUAAUUACUAUCUUUCAUGGGUACACAGUAGGAAAUUCGGGCCGGGUUUGUUACUUACUCUUCGCAGCCUCUCUAGACACAUUGAAUCCUGUAGCACACAAUUCUUUUGUUGUCGCUUCGAUGGUGUGUGGAGCAGAUAUAUGCUAUGCUUAGAACAUAAACAUUAAACACUCACCUUGUAGUUGUAUGGUGAAAUCACAACAUCUAUUGCUUUGCUUUAUGGUUUAUCGAGGAGUAUAAAACGGUAUCUUGAAAUAUCUGCCCACGUGUGUCUUCCAGUAAUUAUCCUCGUGAAGUGAUUAAGUCACGCAGAAUGUGUUGAAGUCGGUGAUUAAUUCGCCAAGGAAAUCUUAUCGGUACAUAAUAUUUACAGUAAAAUUGAUGUGCAGUCUGUAAUAGCAUCAUGAAAUCCCCCAUGAAGGUGUUCAGAACGGAAAUUGCUGCACUUCCAAACAAGCUGCAUAUUUCUUGUCCUUAGUUUGCUGGAGCUUCAUAGAAUAUUAUAUAACUUUCUGUAACCAUAUUACGAGUUAAUGAUGGUGCACAGCAGCGAGGCAGGUAAAGGCACAGUUGGGAUACAAACAAGUCGCAGCUCAGAAUUUUUCAUUCGGUAUAGAGACCUCACUUCUUAACGCGACUGUACAUACUGUACAUACGUCAGUUAGUCAGCCAAUCAGUGACUUGAGGACGUGGGUGGAAAAUUCUAAGGGAGCUGUGGCAUAUUCAUCGCUCACUGCCCACACAGGGAGGCAGUAUAUCCCCUCCCUCCCUUGCCACGGGAAAAUCUGCCUCACACUUCUCUAUGCUGGCUCCUCUUUCUAGAUUAAGUUCCGACUCCUGUUUCAUUUUUUGCUAGACUGGAUUGUUGUUUUCUCUUAUUUUAGCUUCAGAGAUAUAGCCAGUAGACAAGCAAUCAGUCAGUCAAACGAUCAAUCAAUAGAUCAAUCAAUUACUAAAUCGAUCUAUCAAUCAAUCAGUAAUUUAGUUAAUCAGUUAAUCAAGCGGUUGCCCAAUCAGUCUGUCAGUCAAGCAGUCGUUCAUCUAGUCAGUCAGUCAAGAGUCGUUCAUUUAGCCAGUAAGUCAAAUGAGUAAGUUAACUUUAAGUAGUCCUCGUGGUACUCUUGUUCGCUCUGCCUGGAAACAGUAGCUGCUGUUGAGUUGCAGAACUGAGCUGCGCCACACACUCCCUCCCUCGGCCAGGCUGCAACUGUCACGUGGUGCCAGCGGGAUUGACCGGCUGGCGCACAAACCGUAUUGAUUGACUCGCUAGGGGUGUCUAUAGUUAACUCUGCUUGCAUGCUGUGUCUCCAGGACAUGACGCCACUAAGAGGAAAUUUAUACUUCUUAUUAAAACAACGCUUCUUGUUUCAUAUUUCAAUAAUCAAACAUCGUUGUGUUUAUAAAGACUUGUUUUGUAAUAUUUUAGGCACUAACUUUGUUUCUCGCCACCAGAAAAAUAAUAACAUCUCAUUGUCCUCUUUUUGCUGAGAAUUAAACUUGUAUUAUGUGUUACAUAUUUUCCUUUCUGUUUUAUCUUCAUUUUUGCUCGUCACUUCAGAUUUUAGACACAGUGGAAUAAUAACGUCCCAUUAUCCUGGGCCUCAGCAAUAAGCCGCGUCGCUGCAGUAAAAAGUGAAUGUGUGAGUUUUGCGUGUGUGUAGCGUAUCAUUGCUGACCACACUGUGAUUAACCGUAAUGUAUCAUGGGUUGUUUAAUCAGUAUUGGUGCAAGGUAAAUGUAGUUUUGGCCUCUGAGAUACAACUCUGUCAUACAGUGAGCGACGCUUUA